This 3630-nucleotide long non-coding RNA is filed under the name Xyrichtys novacula (pearly razorfish). Lineage: Eukaryota; Metazoa; Chordata; Actinopteri; Labriformes; Labridae. The record is from RNAcentral.
GUUGAACUUGAGUUUGUAUCGUGUUUGAAAUUGAGUUUGUGGUGUUUUUGAACUUGAGUUUGUGUGUUUUUUGAACUUGAGUUUGUGGUGUUUUUGAACUUCAUUUUGUGGCACUUUUUUAACUUGAGUUUGUUGAACUUUAGUUUUUGGCAAUUGUUAAGUGUGAGUUUAGGUCAUUUGUUGAACUUGAAAUUUUGGAAUUUGUUGAACUUAAGAUUGUGGUGUUUGUUGAACUUGAGUUUUUUGGCAAUUGUUGAACUUGAGUCUGUAUUUUCUCUGAACUUUAGUUGGUGGCAAUUGUUGAACUUGAGUUUGUGGUGUUUUUGCACUUGAGUUUGUGUCGAGUUUGAACCUGAGUUUGUGUUGUAUUUGAACUUGAGGUUGUGGAAAUUGUUAAACGUGAGAAUUGGGUAUUGGUUAAACUUGAGUUUGUGUGUUUGUUGAACCUGAGUUUGUGUCUUGUUUGAACUUGAGAUUGUGCUGUUUUGUGAUCUUGAAUUUGUGUGGGUUUUUUUUAACUUGAGUUUUUGGUGUUUUUAAAUUUGAGUUUCUGUUGUUUUUGAACAUGAGGUUGUGGCAAUUGUUAAACUUGAGAUUUGGGUGUUGGUUGAAAUUAAGUUUCGGCAUUUUUGAACUUGAGUUUGUGGUGUUUUUGAACUUGAAUUUGUGUAUUUUUUGAACCUGAGUUUGUUGCAAUUUUUGAACUUGAGUUUGUUGAACUUGAGUUUUUGGCAAUUGUUUAAUGUGAAUAUAGGUCAUUUGUUGAAUUUGAAAUUUUGUCAUUUUUUGAACUUAAGCUUGUGGUGUUUGAUGAACUUGAGUUUGUGGCAAUUGUUAACCUUGAGUCUGUAUUUUUCUCUGAACCUUACUUGGUGGCAAUUGUUGAACUUGAGUUUGUGGCGUUUGUUGUACUUGAGUUUGUGGCGUGUUUGAACUUGAGUUUCUGUUGGUUUUGAACUUGAGGUUGUGGAAAUUGUUAAACUUGAGAUUUGGGAUUUGGUUGAACUUGAGUUUGUGAAUCGUGUUUGAACUUGAGUUUGUGGUGUUUUUGAUCUUGAGCUUUUGUGUUUUUUGAACUGAAGUUUGUGGCAAUUGUUAAACUUGUGACUUAGGUGUUGGUUGAACUUGAGUCUGUGUGUUUUUCUAACUUGAGUUUGUGGUGUGUCUGAACUUGAGUUUUUGUUUUUUUUUUAACUUGAGGUUGUGGAAAUUGUUAAACUUGCGAAGUGGGCAUUGGUUGAACUUGAGUUCGUGUGUUUGUUGAACUUGAGUUUUUGUCAUUUAGAACUUGAGUUUGUGGUGUUUUUGAUCUUGAGCUUUUGUGUUUUUUGAACUUAAGUUUGUGGCAAUUGUUAAACUUGUGACUUAGGUGUUGGUUGAACUUGAGUCUGUGUGUUUUUCUAACUUGAGUUUGUGGUGUGUCUGAACUUGAGUUUUUGUUUUUUUUUAACUUGAGGUUGUGGAAAUUGUUAAACUUGCGAAGUGGGCAUUGGUUGAACUUGAGUUCGUGUGUUUGUUGAACUUGAGUUUUUGUCAUUUAGAACUUGAGUUUGUGGUGUUUUUGAACUUGAGGUUUUGGCAGAUGUUAAACUUGAUAUUUGGGUGUUGUUUGAACUUGAGUUUGUGUCGUGUUUGAACUUGAGUUUGUGUCGUGUUUGAACUUGAGUUUGUGUCGUGUUUGAACUUGAGGUUGUGGAAAUUGUUAAACGUGAGAAUUGGGUAUUGGUUAAACUUGAGUUUGUGUGUUUGUUGAACCUGAGUUUGUGUCGUGUUUGAACUGGAGAUUGUGCUGUUUUGUGAUCUUUGAAUUUUCUAGGAUGAUGCAAUGUCCAGCCAUCAACACAUUUGUGAAGGAAUUUUUACUCCCCAAAAGAGCGCCCCCCCAUGGCAGGAGAAAAAAUUCAAUUUUUUCUUGUCCCCUAAGGUGAAAAUACACAUUGUUGAGUGUCACGCCUAUACGCUUUGUCAAAUUGACACAAAAUUUGACAAACACGUGUAUCUCAAUAAGAUCUACGAAAAAGUCAAUGGGCACGUGUCUGUAAAAUGUACAGUUAAAGGGCUAUUUCGCAUUUUUUGCGGAUUCGCACACAUUGGAAUGUGACUAACUCCUCCUAAGGCUUUCGUCCCACCAACACCAAAUUUGCUCAGGCCAAUCUACACCCCAUGGCCAUUCAAAGUUGUAAAAAUCAUGACGCUGCAUCCCACGGUUUACGUUCUAGGGGGCGCCAAAGAUGACCCAAAAAUCCACAUUCUUAAAAGUCGUUUUGGCCACUGAGUGGCGCCAAAGGGAGUUGUCUAUUAACAGCAGACAAAGUAGAUAUGGCCACUGAGGGGCGCCAAAGGGAGUUGUCUAUUAAAUCUGAUGCUACAGAAAAAGUUAAAAGGCUCACAUUUUUGCUAUAUUAGUGACUUUAUGUCUUAAAUGGGCUCUUAAAGGGUUACAAAAAAUUAUUUUCAAUGAAACAUUUGCUAGUUUUGAACAGGGCAGAAGUAAAAUAAGAGAUGUACAAAAAAAAAUCUGGAAAAAAUAUUAAUCCAAUAUGAUUUUACAGCAGACAAAGUAAUUUUGGCCACUGAGUGGCGCCAAAGGGAGCGGUCUAUUAACAGCAGACAAAGUAGUUAUGGCCACGGAGGGGCGCCAAAGGGAGUUGUCUAUUAAAUCUGAUGCUACAGAAAAAGUUAAAAGGCAUCAAAGUCAAUCAUAUUACUUAUCUCUCACAUAUUCAAGACUUUGAUGCCCUGCAAGAGAUAACCAGUUUUUAUUAUGUUUGAUAAAAAAGAAUUGGUCAUUUUCCUUACCCCCCAUGGCAGGAGAAAUUUUAUUUUUCUUGCGUGUUGCUCAAUGGCUGAAACGCAUCGCUCUCCCGGCAACACCGGAAGGAGGAGCAACUUGCCAUUUGGAUAUAUCCUAGCUGUGUUUGUGCCCUCACUCAUGGUCCAGACUUUUUUCAUAUAGGACAUGGAGUUUGUCUGCAGCGAGUGUUUUGGUAGAAACUGCGCCUCCCAUUCAUUAUAAUGGUAAAAGACCAAAGACAGGUGCGCACACCAUCUUUGGACCUUGAGUGUGAUGCAAUCGCGAGGGGGAGGCGGUCACGCUGAGGGCGACGCGACGCGGCUCGGCCCCGCCAGUGCCCCAACGGGGCCCUAGUUUUUUUUGGUCUAACUUUCUCUCAAAGGUUGGAAAAGAGUUCCUACAAAGAUUUUGGACAUUGAUUUUAACCCUCACGCCAAAAACCUUAAACAUUACCCUAGCCCAGAAACCUAGUAUUACCUUCAGGAAGCCCAAACACCCCAAAUAAUUUUUUUUCAUUUAUCUUUUUUUUUUGUCUAACUAACUCCAAAAGGUUGGAAAAGACUUCCUACAAAGGUUUUGGACAGUGAUUUUAACCCUCACGCCAAAAACCUUAAACCUAAACCUAGCCCCAUAACCUAAUACACGGGUAUUACCUUCAGGAAGCCCGAACACCCCAAAUAUAUAUUUUUUCUUUUUCUUUUUUUUUUUGGUCAAACUAGCUCCAAAAGGUCUGAAACAUGUUCCUUAAAAAAUAUUGGACAGUGAUUUUAACCCUUACGCCAAAAACCUUAAACUUAAUCCUAGCCCCAUAACCUAAUGCUUAAACCUGAAGGGUA